RNAcentral lists this ribosomal RNA (253 nucleotides) under uncultured bacterium. RNAcentral describes it as "partial 16S ribosomal RNA". It matches the Rfam family "Bacterial small subunit ribosomal RNA", at positions 524 to 776 of the family's 1533-position model. The record is from RNAcentral.
GACGGAGGGGGCUAGCGUUGUUCGGAAUCACUGGGCGUAAAGGGCGCGUAGGCGGCUAAGUAAGUUAGAGGUGAAAGCCUGGGGCUUAACCACAGAAUUGCCUUUAAUACUGCUUGGCUGGAGUUUGGUAGGGGAUAGUGGAAUUCCUAAUGUAGAGGUGAAAUUCGUAGAUAUUAGGAGGAACACCAGUGGCGAAGGCGACUGUCUGGGCCAAUACUGACGCUGAGGCGCGAAAGCGUGGGGAGCAAACAGG